RNAcentral lists this transfer RNA (74 nucleotides) under Eubacterium sp. Its description in RNAcentral is "tRNA-Leu". It matches the Rfam family "tRNA". From Rfam's summary of the family: Transfer RNA (tRNA) molecules are approximately 80 nucleotides in length. The record is from RNAcentral. Lineage: Bacteria; Bacillati; Bacillota; Clostridia; Eubacteriales; Eubacteriaceae.
CGGCAUGUGAUGGAAUUGGCAUACGUGCUCGGCUAAGAACCGAGAUUUUGUGGGUUCGAAUCCCACCUUGCCGA